RNAcentral lists this ribosomal RNA (279 nucleotides) under uncultured bacterium. RNAcentral describes it as "partial 16S ribosomal RNA". It matches the Rfam family "Bacterial small subunit ribosomal RNA", at positions 506 to 784 of the family's 1533-position model. The record is from RNAcentral.
UGCCAGCCGCCGCGGUAAUACGAAGGGUGCUAGCGUUAUUCGGAAUCACUGGGCUUAAAGGGUGCGUAGGCGGUCUUGUAGGUCAGAUGUGAAAUCCCACGGCUCAACCGUGGAAUUGCGUUUGAAACCACAGGACUUGAGUAAGAUAGAGGUAAGCGGAACUGAUGGUGGAGCGGUGAAAUGCGUUGAUAUCAUCAGGAACACCGGUGGCGAAAGCGGCUUACUGGGUCUUUACUGACGCUGAGGCACGAAAGCUAGGGGAGCGAACGGGAUUAGAUA